AACGAACGCUGGCGGCAUGCCUAACACAUGCAAGUCGAACGAGACCUUCGGGUCUAGUGGCGCACGGGUGCGUAACGCGUGGGAAUCUGCCCUUGGGUUCGGAAUAACAGUUAGAAAUGACUGCUAAUACCGGAUGAUGUCUUCGGACCAAAGAUUUAUCGCCCAGGGAUGAGCCCGCGUAGGAUUAGGUAGUUGGUGAGGUAAAGGCUCACCAAGCCGACGAUCCUUAGCUGGUCUGAGAGGAUGAUCAGCCACACUGGGACUGAGACACGGCCCAGACUCCUACGGGAGGCAGCAGUGGGGAAUAUUGGACAAUGGGCGAAAGCCUGAUCCAGCAAUGCCGCGUGAGUGAUGAAGGCCUUAGGGUUGUAAAGCUCUUUUGCCCGGGAUGAUAAUGACAGUACCGGGAGAAUAAGCCCCGGCUAACUCCGUGCCAGCCGCCGCAGUAA
This 449-nucleotide ribosomal RNA is filed under the name uncultured bacterium. Its description in RNAcentral is "partial 16S ribosomal RNA". It matches the Rfam family "Bacterial small subunit ribosomal RNA", at positions 29 to 523 of the family's 1533-position model. The record is from RNAcentral.